This is a non-coding RNA of Mycena polygramma, 91 nucleotides long. NCBI's taxonomy places the organism in Eukaryota, Fungi, Basidiomycota, Agaricomycetes, Agaricales, Mycenaceae. The record is from the annotation of a GenBank genome assembly.
UCGGACGUGGUGCAUGGCGCACACCCGCCUUCGCUGGAUGUUCUGACCACCUGUUGAACGGGAGUACCGGGUUCGAUUCCCGGCGUCCGAA